Molecule: long non-coding RNA, 542 nt
Filed under: Bos taurus (domestic cattle)
Lineage: Eukaryota; Metazoa; Chordata; Mammalia; Artiodactyla; Bovidae
Description: long non-coding RNA NONBTAT022709
Source: RNAcentral
AACCUUCCAACACUAUAUAAAACUGGUAUGUGGACGCGCGCGCGUGCACACACACGUGUGUGCACACACAUCUCUGGGCAAUGGAUAUGCAAAUUAGAAUGUCUAUACAUGCAACUGAACCACAGGUUUUACUUUAACAGAUAAGUGCUAAAAUAAAUGCACUUCAAACGUUUCACUUUGCACUACGAAUGUGAACUUGAGUAACUAGUGCUAAUUUAGAACUGCAGCGCUAGGACGGGUGCUCUGAUUCUCCUCAUUCAAGCACCGCACUGCCAUUUGUCAAAAGAGCAGAAAAAGGAAUUUUUCCUUUGUUGAAAAAGACUGUUUUGGUUUCGUCAAAAAGCCAUCGCUGAAUACCGUUCUGUAUUAUAUUUGUGACUCACUCUCAAAUGAGAUGUCACCACACCCCGACUCUUCUUUCAUACGUGAUAAAUAAAAUAGAACAGAAAUUUAGUUUCAAAGUUUCUUACCAUAUACAGGGAACAAAUCUUUAAAAAUUAAUACUUUGCCUUCAACAUUUUGACCUCUUGUUUUCCCUUUUU